This 4012-nucleotide long non-coding RNA is filed under the name Homo sapiens (human). RNAcentral describes it as "non-protein coding lnc-NDRG1-2:1". The record is from RNAcentral. Lineage: Eukaryota; Metazoa; Chordata; Mammalia; Primates; Hominidae.
UUGGCACCGUGUUUCUGACUCCUGCAGAUGCCUCUUCCCAAGCAGUUGUUCCUUUGAGUAGUCAGUCUCAUGGUUCUAAUCGUGGCGAGAGCGGAUCUGACCACUUCCAUGUGCCUUUGUAUUUGGGAAAGAAAAGCAUGCAUUGGCUGAAAUGAAACAAAAGCCCUUACUUGGGAAAAGGGACCCCCACCAGCGGCCCUGCUUGCUCCGUAGCUGGGAACAUCUUUUCUGGUUUCCUGAGCCAGCACCUGAAUUGCAACGAAGCUCUGAGGAUACUCAACACCACCCAGCAGUGCGUCAGAAUGGAACGUACAUUCUCAUUCUCAGACUGUUCAAUAUGGUGCCCGUAACCUCCAAAGCCACACAGGAGGCUGCCAGCAGCAUUUUCCCCAAGGGCCUGAGCUCAGGGUCAAGUCCCUGCUGGCCAUCUUGGGGCUGUCACUGGGGGUCUGGGUCAAGGACAUCCCAGGAAUGGUAACUGCCACAUACCUCAUCUUCUUACUCCCCAGCUACUCUCUUUUCCUCAUUAGCCUUCCUGAUUAUUUAUUGAUUUCUUUUUUUUAUUCAACUGACAUUGUUUGCACCCUGGCUCUGUUGGUGGUCCUGGUGUUUUAAUGAAGCUUGCCUCACCCAGUAGCUGGGAAAUUAGGUGGGGGUGCUUAAGGGAGGUUUGUAGGAGUCCUCGGACGUGGGAUAUUGGGGGUAUCUAGGGCUUGGAUGGUUUGUGGAAUGUCCUCAGCAUCCUCCCGUCCCAACCCAACCUUCCUUCUUCCUCAUUGUGGACUUGGAUUUAUUCUCAGGCUAGGAGUCUCCAAAACUCCGUGAAACCUUAUUGCUGCUGGGUGUGGAGUGGAGAGUGACAGGAAUGUGGGGGACGGUGAUUGUUGGCUCCAGUUACUAAUGUUUAAGCAGAAAAACCACUUUCUUGUUGAAAAUAUCCCUGAAAAGGUCGCUGCUGCUUUGAGGAGGCGUGACUUUUUCCUGGUGGAGUGUGACGGAGGCAUGGGGCCUGUGCUCCCAGGCUCGGGGGAGCCCCCUCUGCACACGGGGAGGGAGGAACUUGGGGACAUCAGUCAUGGGUCACAGGUGGCUUCAGGCCAUUCACAAGAGUCCCCGGAAGUUGCGUGCCAAGUUUGGUUUUUUCCCUGAAUCUCUGCAUAUGAGCAUUUUUCUGGAGAAAGGACCAUAGCUUUUAUUAGAUUCUCAAAGGUUCAGAAUGGGGAAUGUGUUAAACAAACCGAAAACCUGUUUCAGCUUUAAAAUCCUCCAAAACUUUAAAGACUUUUCUUUUUUCUGAGAAAGGCUGGUAAAUCACUGAGUCAUCAUUCAGAACAUACAGCCUCGAAGGGCAGAGCUCACACCCAUAUAUGACGUUAAGAGCUCAACAAAUGUUUGUUGAGUGACUGAGUGACCCCAGGGGCAGACUCCAGAUCAUCAGACACUGAUACAGAGAGCGAUGCUAUCUCCUCAACUCUCCCUCUUCUCCUAAAAGCUGAGUCUAUAUAGGGAUGACAGGCUCAGGCUGAGCAGUCGACUUCUCUGGGUUUUGCUGUGUAAGAAUAGGUCCCUCAACAUGAAGAUGUGUCUGCGUCUGAGCCAGAUGCUGCCUGGGUCGGUUGCCUGGCCUCCGUCUGGUCUCCCUCCCUCCUACUAGGGUGGUCAAGCUGUGAGAUCUCUUCCAGCCUCCAAAUCCAGCUUUCCCAUUUUACUGAUGAGAAAAUCAAGGCCACAUUGCAGCUGGGUGGGGAGUGGAGCGUGACAGGCACGGGAGAGGACAGCGAUUGUUGACUCUAGUUCCUGAUGUUUAAUCAGAAAAACCACUUUUCCUGUAGAGCACAUUUCCUAAAAGGCUGCUGCUGUGUAGGGAGGUGUGGCCUUUUCCUGGUGCAGUGUGAAGGAGGGAAGUGACGGGCAGUCGUGAACUGUCUGGGACAGAUAGCACAAGUCAGAGUUUGAGCAAAACUAGGGUGUUACCGGCGCUAUGUUGAAAUUGUCUGGAGGCGGGCUUUCCCAGCGAGUCUCCAUUCAGCAUCUGGAAAAAGUGUAACCAGAAUGGAGGUGUCUGACUCUCCUGUGCUCUCUCAGCGCCGAGCUCUAGCUGCAGGCUGCCUGGGUGGCCUUCUCACACCCUCCCGUGCAGGAGACUGCAUUUCUCUUUCCCACAGCCCAGCAGAUAGCUCAUUGGCUUAGCAAUGGGCACUUAACAGAAUCCAGUUGUUGCAGCCAGAAUUAAAUGCACCAGUCUGGCUUAAACCAACUGGAACUCAUCCCUGGGGUGAAGGUGGCUGGGAAUUAGACAAGAGUGUGUGUUAGCCAAAAGGCACAUGCAUGCUGUCAGCAGGAGAAUGAGGAGCACUGGUUCUGGGCAGGCAGUGGCAGGGGCUCCCUCAGGCCCCUGAUUCCCAGCCCACAGCUCUUUCUACUCUGCAGACAGAGUUCCUUGGAGACUGGCCCUGCAUUCAGGCAGGGAGCAGAGGGGUCCCUGCCUGCAGCACCCAGAGCUGAACCUGAAGCUACAAAGAUGGGCUGAUGAGGUGGCCCAUGAGGUGUCAGCAACAUCCCAACCCCCUGGGUCUCCCCAGUGAGUCAGGGCACUGAUUUGCUAUAGCUGGAGCUACAUGCACCUCUCCUCCCCUCAGCCACCUUUUAGGGGAGAAAGGAGGGCAGAUUUGUAACCUCUGGUUCUCUGCAGGGAUCCUGGGCUGGAAGAAAGUUCAUAAAUGGAUGAAUGCCUUUUAAAACUCCAGCUUUUCCAAGCAUCAUUCACCAAAGCAUUUGGUUAGGCUUAGAGAGAAAAGCUGGAUAUGAGAAAAUAGAAUGUAAAAUAGGAGGGAAAAAAAAAAAGAAGGUGGAGAGGGCAGUUAAGAUCUGGGUGAUUCUUUAGGGAAACGGCUGGUUGAGAGGCUUUGAUGGAAUCCCAUUCUCUGCUGUGGCCAGAAGGUGGUGCUAGAGGCCAGUCCCACUUGGAUGUGACCCUGGCCUCUGCCAGGAUUCAAACCACAAAGAACAUUUGGAACUGGGAUGUUUGCUUUGAAGCAGCCCGAAAACAAGUGAAAGGAAACCAAGAUAACUCUCUCUCCCUCCGCUGGCAAGGAUCAAAAAUACCUUGUGCAGGGAAGCCCGAGCCUCGAGGGGCCACUGCCCAGCUAAAGAUGACUGGACACCAGCCAUGCACCAUCAGGAACCAGCACCUGUCCUCACCCCUGAGAAGAGCCCCGGGGGUAUCAUUAUAUCCAUCGCAGACAUCUGGUUUGCAGCAAAUGUGGCUACACGCCAUCAGGAUUAUCCUGCCCUGUGGACUGGGCUAGCUAGUUUUGAGAUAGAGUCAACCUCCCCAUUUUUGUUUGUCAUGAAAACACCAGCUCCUGCACCCCUGGGGUGCUACCUGACACCUGUGCAAAGAAAAGGAGGAAAACUUAGAAGAAAAGGCAGAGACAGGCAAGACAGCAUCUCACAGCUUGUCAGGAUCAGGGCAUUACCGACUAUUUUUUCUUACCAAAAGAGCACUGAAUUUCCUAGGGGAAGGUGAGCCACCUUUACACCUCCUGUCCUCCCUCCCAGCCCGUCAAGCGAUCCCAUCACCCAGCCUCAUCACUCAGCUUCUUCCUAGUACAAAACUGCCAUCGGUUGUACGUCCUGAGCUGUGGGACGUCAGCUUUAACCCUAGCCUGUCUCAGGGCCUCGCCCUCCAGCCCCCCGCCCCUUAGGGUGAUCGUGGGUUUCUUCCCUUCCUCCUGCACAAUCGCUUCCCUUCACUGAAUUCCCUUCAAAGCCAAAGUUUCUUGAGCACUUUUUCUUGUGUGCAGUCUUGUGUGUUUGGGUGUUGGUGUUUUUAAAUUUGCUUUCUAUUCCCCCCUGCCUCUCUCCAUGUCGUUACGCAGCUGAGCACUGGUUGGGAUGCAUUCGAAUGACUUCAGCAAGAUCCUGCUUUCCUCAGCCCCCGCUCUGUUUUAUUUAUUGUUUAAUAUUUCCAAUGAUCCAAAUCAAAGUGAAUAAACAAAGAGCUAUUUUA